AGCGGAGUGGUAGCAGCUGGCAGCUCGCUUGGCUCAUAACCAAGAGGUCGGUGGUUCGAGUCCAUCCUCCGCAA
This 74-nucleotide transfer RNA is filed under the name Caudoviricetes sp. RNAcentral's name for it is "tRNA-Met". It matches the Rfam family "tRNA". Rfam says of the family: Transfer RNA (tRNA) molecules are approximately 80 nucleotides in length. Their secondary structure includes four short double-helical elements and three loops (D, anti-codon, and T loops). The record is from RNAcentral. Lineage: Duplodnaviria; Heunggongvirae; Uroviricota; Caudoviricetes.